This 78-nucleotide transfer RNA is filed under the name Deltaproteobacteria bacterium. RNAcentral's name for it is "tRNA-Glu". It matches the Rfam family "tRNA". From Rfam's summary of the family: Transfer RNA (tRNA) molecules are approximately 80 nucleotides in length. Their secondary structure includes four short double-helical elements and three loops (D, anti-codon, and T loops). Further hydrogen bonds mediate the characteristic L-shaped molecular structure. tRNAs have two regions of fundamental functional importance: the anti-codon, which is responsible for specific mRNA codon recognition, and the 3' end, to which the tRNAs corresponding amino acid is attached (by aminoacyl-tRNA synthetases). tRNAs cope with the degeneracy of the genetic code in two manners: having more than one tRNA (with a specific anti-codon) for a particular amino acid; and 'wobble' base-pairing, i.e. permitting non-standard base-pairing at the 3rd anti-codon position. Lineage: Bacteria; Pseudomonadati; Myxococcota; Myxococcia. The record is from RNAcentral.
GUCCCCAUCGUCUAGCCCGGUCCAGGACCCCAGAUUUUCAUUCUGGUUACAGGAGUUCAAAUCUCCUUGGGGACGCCA